CUGACCUGCUUGCAGUUUCAAAAUGAGAAAAAAGGAAAAGGGGCCAAAGCAAAAGUUUGGGCACCCUGCAUGUCCAGGGGGAAAGCUGGAAACUUAAACAAGGUCUGGUUUACCAUUCACUAAGUUCAUGUCUGGUCCUCGGAUCUACUUUCUCUCACCGCCUGCCCACCGCCUACCCUGCAGUGGUGUCCACAAGUUUCAACAAUCUCAAUAAUCAAGCAUCCACUCUGGGGCAAAGAACAUUCUGGAGUGACCUUUUUUUUUGAGGGAUACCAAGCAAUAAUGCAAGGAAGUUGUCCACAUUGCUACCUGGUUUUGAAUCCAUUCCCUGAAACAUUUAUUGACAUGAAGGAGAGCUUGGCAAUAAGGAAAAAGCAGAGAUAUGCCACUAACUGGAUAGCUCACCAAACAUCCAUCAAGUCAAUCAAAAGAAUGUAGUGGUUACCCAUCAUAUCCAAUGAUGACAGUGAAACCUGUGGAGUUAAGAUCUGCUGUUCCUUAUGUUAUGAUCCCAGCCCCCUCCUUUGUGAGAAUCGCAAGAGCACCCGUCGAAGGGGGGGGUCAGUAGACCCAGUAGGAGAGAGAGAGAGAGAGAGAGAGAGAGAGAGAAACGUGCCAAAUUGCACGUCCCACCCGGGAUGCAGAAUAAGACGACAGCGACUAUUGUCUCAUGGAGACCACGUGAAAAGCCCUCGGGCAAGGUGGGCUAGUUGUGAGAGAGAUUGCAUCAUCCCAACCUGAUUGACACCUGCGACCCCGUGAGGAAGUAUAAAGGAGAGUCUCAGGGGGACAGCCCCCUCAGACGCACCAAGAAGACACGAGAGAGUGAUCCCGCAGCAGCGGGAAACCAUUCUGAAGGAAGCCACGAGUGUUAGAUUCCGGGAUUGGAAUUUGUGGCUGGAAUCACAGAAAACCGCUUUUAAUGAACAUCGGGGAGAGGAAACCAACGCUCCCCCGAUUUCACGGAAGCUUCAUCAAGACUCUGCAAGUUCUUUCUCUUCUCCCCCAAUCUCUCUCUCUCGGUCGCCCCACGUGAAACCCAGCAAUUUUCAAAGGGCUGAGGCCUGCAGACUUUCUGAGUGACUUUUAUAUUUCCAACAGACAAUCUAUUAACCCCUAGACAACAGCAGAGCUCAAUUCUUAAUGAUGAUUAUUACUAUACCCGCGCUUUAGGUUGAGUGUUGACGAUGUGCACUAUCUGAAUGUAUGUAUUAACCCUACUUUUGUGUCCCUUUAUAAAUAAAAACGUUUGAAAAUAGUGACAUCAGACUUCAACGGACCUCUCUAUCUUUGCUGGUAAGUUCUCCAGUUAUGGGAUUCGUAACACUUAAAACUUCCUCAAUCAUCUGUAUUCCCACUCAUCUUAGCCCUGUCAUACUUCUUUUUCUUUAAUGCUAUACAAUCUCUGACUUCCUUUGUCAACCACUGUGGCCCCUUCCCCCUCUUUGAAUCCUUCCUUCUCAUUGGAAUGAACUGCUUUUGCAUCUUUUGUAUUAUGCCCAAGAAUAUCUGCCACUGCUGAUCCACUGUCUUUCCUGCCAGGGCAUCCGCCCAUUUAACUUUGGCCAGCUCUUCCCUCAUGGCUCCGUAGUCUCCUUUAUUUAAUUGCAACACUGACACCUCUGAUCUGCCCUUAUCCCGCUCAAAUUGUAGAUAAAAACUUAUCAUGUUAUGAUCACUACUUCCUAAUGGCUCCUUUACUUCAAGAUCACUUAUCAAUUCCUGUUCAUUACACAUCACCAAGUCCAAAAUAGCCUCGUUCCUG
Hypanus sabinus (Atlantic stingray) is the source of this 1765-nucleotide long non-coding RNA. RefSeq lists it as uncharacterized. NCBI's taxonomy places the organism in Eukaryota, Metazoa, Chordata, Chondrichthyes, Myliobatiformes, Dasyatidae. The record is from RefSeq and is a predicted model, not a curated record. The transcript is spliced from 6 exons.